AUACGUAGGGUGCAAGCGUUAAUCGGAAUUACUGGGCGUAAAGCGUGCGCAGGCGGUUUUGUCAGACAGUGGGGAAAUCCCCGGGCUCGACCUGGGAACUGCCAUUGUGACUUCAAGGCUGGAGAGUGGCAGAGGGGGGUGGAAUUUCGCGUGUAGCAGUGAAAUGCGUACGUAUGCGGAGGUAAACCGAUGGCGUAGGCAAUCCCCUUGGCCGACGCUGACUCUCAUACUCUAACGCGCCGGGAGCCACCAGGAUUAGAUACGCUAGUAGUUCACGCACUAAACGAAGCCAACAGGGUGUUGGGGAUUUAGUUUCUCAGUAACGAAGCUUACACAUGAAGUUUAACGGCUGGGAAGUACGGCAGCACGGUUGAUACUCAAAGGAAUGCACGGGG
This 395-nucleotide ribosomal RNA is filed under the name uncultured bacterium. Its description in RNAcentral is "partial 16S ribosomal RNA". It matches the Rfam family "Bacterial small subunit ribosomal RNA", at positions 523 to 918 of the family's 1533-position model. The record is from RNAcentral.